RNAcentral lists this ribosomal RNA (206 nucleotides) under uncultured bacterium. Its description in RNAcentral is "partial 16S ribosomal RNA". It matches the Rfam family "Bacterial small subunit ribosomal RNA", at positions 568 to 774 of the family's 1533-position model. The record is from RNAcentral.
UGCGUAGGUGGUCUUGUAAGUCAGAAGUGAAAGGCUACGGCUUAACCGUAGUAAGCCUUUGAAACUGCAGGACUUGAGUGCAGGAGAGGAAAGUGGAAUUCCUAGUGUAGCGGUGAAAUGCGUAGAUAUUAGGAGGAACACCAGUGGCGAAGGCGACUUUCUGGACUGUUACUGACACUGAGGCACGAAAGCGUGGGGAGCGAACA